Molecule: transfer RNA, 82 nt
Filed under: Dentipellis sp. KUC8613
Lineage: Eukaryota; Fungi; Basidiomycota; Agaricomycetes; Russulales; Hericiaceae
Description: tRNA-Asp
Rfam family: tRNA
About the family: Transfer RNA (tRNA) molecules are approximately 80 nucleotides in length.
Source: RNAcentral
UCCCUGGUAGUAUAUCGGCUAGUACACCCGCCUGUCAUGUACGUGUCCGCGGGAGAGCGGGGUUCGACUCCCCGCCAAGGAG